GACGAACGCUGGCGGCGUGCUUAACACAUGCAAGUCGAACGGAAAGGCCCUGCUUUUGUGGGGUGCUCGAGUGGCGAACGGGUGAGUAACACGUGAGUAACCUGCCCUUGACUUUGUGAUAACUUCAGGAAACUGGGGCUAAUACCGGAUAUGAGCUCCUGCUGCAUGUUGGGGGUUGGAAAGUUUCGGCGGUUGGGGAUGGACUCGCGGCUUAUCAGCUUGUUGGUGUGGUAGUGGCUUACCAAGGCUUUGACGGGUAGCCGGCCUGAGAGGGUGACCGGCCACAUUGGGACUGAGAUACGGCCCAGACUCCUACGGGAGGCAGCAGUGGGGAAUAUUGCACAAUGGGCGGAAGCCUGAUGCAGCAACGCCGCGUGCGGGAUGACGGCCUUCGGGUUGUAAACCGAUUUCGCAUGUGACGAAGCGUGAGUGACGGUAAUGGGUAAAGAAGCACCGGCUAACUACGUG
RNAcentral lists this ribosomal RNA (468 nucleotides) under uncultured bacterium. RNAcentral's name for it is "partial 16S ribosomal RNA". It matches the Rfam family "Bacterial small subunit ribosomal RNA", at positions 28 to 507 of the family's 1533-position model. The record is from RNAcentral.